GCAAACCCCAGGGUUUCCUUUCACUUACAGAUCCUUCACGUCACGUCACCCUGGGUAUUCCCUCCACCCCCAAAACAUUCCUCGAGACACAAAUUCAAACUUUCUUAGAGCAGUUUUGUCAAACUUUUGUUUUUCAUUCUUCAUAGAGACAGAAAGUUAAAACCACAAAGGGAAGCCAAAAAAACACCUGCAGGAAGCAGCAGAGUGGAGGCGGGGAAGUUACUGUGGCCGGGGAAUGGAUUCUAUGCCGCUGGAGGGGUGAGUGGAGGAACUGCGGCCCUGCCAUGCUGGGACAGCUGCUUCUGUGACAGAGGAACCCUGUUCCAUCUUUCCUGGGACUUGUCCCAGAGGUUUAUGGAAUUUCUCUUUUGGACAAGCAGAACAGACUGCUAUGCUCCAUCAAUAAGCACUGUUCUGAGGUAACUCUAAGAGCUCAGUAGAAGGGACAUUGACUGUUACGGUUCUAAGAAUACGUGUGUUGGUUUAAUAUAACAGUCCAAUGAAUAUUCCAGCCCAGUUUACAUUUGAGACACUUAGCUCCACAGGAGUGAGGUGAAUUACUCCAGAGCACACUUAUGAAUCCCACAGAUUGGAUGUUUGGUGCAAAAUCUGAAGAGCCCUCAUCCAGUGGCUGAUGGAAGCAGAGGCAGACACCCACAGCUAUACACUGAACUGAAUUCUGGACCCAGUUGCAGAGAGGGAGGAAUAAAGAUCAAAAGGGUUGGGACCAGGCUGGUGAAACCCACAGAAACAGCUGGCCUGAACAAGGGGGAGCACGACACCAGACUGCUGUCUGGGAAGCCAGCAUGGGACUGAUCAAGACCCCUGAAUGUGGAUGUCAAUGAAGAGGCCUCGACACUCUAUGGGGCCCCUGGUAGUAUCAGUAUUUUUCCCUGGUGUAAGAAGGAACUUUGAGAGCCCAUCCCACGUGAAGGGAUGCACUCUUGGCCUGGGCACAUGGGGGAGGGCGUAGGCCUGGCCCAGGAUGAUGUGGUGGACUUUGGGGAGCUCCCAUGGAGGGCCCUACCCUUCCUGGGGAGGGUAUGGAGUGGGGGACUGGUG
Molecule: long non-coding RNA, 1062 nt
Filed under: Cricetulus griseus (Chinese hamster)
Lineage: Eukaryota; Metazoa; Chordata; Mammalia; Rodentia; Cricetidae
Description: lncRNA (ENSCGRG00015033584.1)
Source: RNAcentral